Molecule: ribosomal RNA, 395 nt
Filed under: uncultured bacterium
Lineage: Bacteria
Description: partial 16S ribosomal RNA
Rfam family: Bacterial small subunit ribosomal RNA
Source: RNAcentral
AUACGGAGGGUGCAAGCGUUAAUCGGAAUUACUGGGCGUAAAGCGCACGCAGGCGGUCAAUUAAGUCAGAUGUGAAAGCCCCGAGCUUAACUUGGGAAUUGCAUCUGAAACUGGUUGGCUAGAGUCUUGUAGAGGGGGGUAGAAUUCCACGUGUAGCGGUGAAAUGCGUAGAGAUGUGGAGGAAUACCGGUGGCGAAGGCGGCCCCCUGGACAAAGACUGACGCUCAGGUGCGAAAGCGUGGGGAGCAAACAGGAUUAGAUACCCUGGUAGUCCACGCUGUAAACGAUGUCGAUUUAGAGGUUGUGGUCUUGAACUGUGGCUUCUGGAGCUAACGCGUUAAAUCGACCGCCUGGGAGUACGGCCGCAAGGUUAAAACUCAAAUGAAUUGACGGGG